UGUAUGAACUCUUGACUAAGUUGCUUUGGAUAAAAGCAUCUGCUGAAUGGCAUAUA
Non-coding RNA from Salmo salar (Atlantic salmon), 56 nucleotides. The record is from Rfam. Lineage: Eukaryota; Metazoa; Chordata; Actinopteri; Salmoniformes; Salmonidae.